Molecule: long non-coding RNA, 2602 nt
Organism: Mus musculus (house mouse)
Lineage: Eukaryota; Metazoa; Chordata; Mammalia; Rodentia; Muridae
Product: predicted gene, 46874
Exons: 3
Source: RefSeq, a predicted model, not a curated record
CAGAAAUCCGCCUGCCUCUGCCUCCCAAGUGCUGGGAUCAAAGGCGUGCGCCACCACGCCUGGCUAGUAACUACUUUUGAUAGUAUCCUUUCGAACCAUCAGACAUUUGCCGGACAGUGUAGGCAUGAUCUCACUUCCUCUGUGCACAGCUCCUGGUUUGCCUGAGAAAGGAAGGGUCCUUGGUAAGUAACUUGCCCAACGUGGCACAGUGAGUGUCAGAGUCUAGACUUCUUCGGUCUGCCAUUUUACUUAGUGAAGUCCAGGCUCCUGCUGUUUGUGCACUGAUUGGUGAGGAUUGAGCCUAGUAGCCUCUGUGAACACUGUUUAAGUCUGUCUCUGGGGCAAGUAGGUAAAUGGAUGGUCAUGGAUGUGUUUCAAUAAAACUUUUUAAAACUGGGCAGAAUUACGAGUCCUUGUGCGAAACUAUCCUCAAGGCUAGAUGAACGUGUUUAAGGACACGGCCGACUGCGUAGCCACCAGGUAGCUGCAUGGUUACUGUCUUCACCAUGAGAUGGGUGAAGACCAGAAGGUCAGUCAGUGUUGUAUAUAUGCCUCAAUCCUAACUUUUUGACAGGGUCUCCCCUUUAACCCAAAGUCAUCAAUUCAGCUAGACUGGCUGGCCAGUGAAGUCUAGGCAUCCUCCUGUCUCCACUCCAGCCCUAGGACAACAGACAUGAACUUCCUUCCCUGCUUGGCUUUUUCAAUGAGUCAUCCGCACAGACGCUCUGCCUGAUGGCCUGGAAGAGCAGCUCCCCCCACGAAGCCUGAAGGAAUGCUGCCUGCAGCCUCCAGCUCCUGGGCUUCCUGGUAUCUGCCUGAGUCACCUGCUUCCUCCGUUAGUCUCUUGGGAGUAUAGCUUGUCCCAAGUACCAGUUACCCCUUUCACCUAACUUCACCUAUGCCUGCUUUGGUCCACUGUGUGUUAACUCUACGGUGUCCUACAUUCUCAGGUGCCCCUGCUGUGGCCACACGCAGUGCCUUCCAGACCUCCUAGCUAUUAUUACUCUGUCUGCUGAGCAGAGAGCUACUUAAAUAACCUCCGGGUUACAGCGAUAACCCAAAGGCCAGCGUGUCACACUGCCCGAACCCCUAUCUGAUGCCAGUGUCACUCCCUCAGAGACAACAGGGGACAGACACUUGAGAAGCUUGUGUUCUGCAUUCCUGUGAGCUUUGUGUCGAGUCAUGUGGGUUCAGAGGUGUCACUUCGGCAGCUUCUGUUUCUUGGCAGUGACCUUCAGACCUAAAAGUGGGCCACCGGAUGCUCUAGAGGGGACAUUGAGAAAAUAUCCAAUGUGUCCCCAGCCUUCUCAGGGUAUCACAGAGCAUGAACAAAUAUAUCCCGUGCCUUCCCUGUAAGCUAGACUAGCCACUACGCUGGGCCUGAGGGAGAGGGGUACAAAGGCAGCCAGGGCUGCUCUAUCAGCUGCUUCAUCAAUAGUUCAUGAUGGGUAAGGGUAGCUGUAACCUUCCUAGUUUACUCUGUGGGGUCCAGUGGAUCUCACACUCCAACACAGUUACUCUUGCCCCACAUCAGUCUCCCGGUAGCCCAGAACAGGAAAGGAUCCCGGGCCACACCCAGUGUCCGGCACACUUCACAAAUCUAUCCUUUUUAUCUGCAAGCAGCAGGACACUGUUUUCCCAGAGUAGCUACUGCCAGAAUGAAAGUCCCAGUCUUAUGCCCAUGUUAGGACCGUCUUUGGAAGGAGCCCAGAAGGGCACUCCAGUGCCAGAAGGGCUGGGCUUAAGGUAUCUUUUCCCUACAGACAUACACACAUCAUCUUAAAGGAUUUGAAAUGACUAACUGUUGCACGAACAAACAUCUAUUCACCCAGACAGGAACAGAUGACAGUCUGAAAAAAUCAGUACGCUAAGUCCAUCCUGGAACAUAUGAGUCUACGGGGAGUUACCGGAGUGAGAUGGAGGACUCACCCCCACACAGGCAGCGGGGCCUCAGGAGCCACUACCUACCUUCACUGCCCCCACUGAAUGGCCUCCAGAUGCUGUAAGAGAUUGAAGAGAAAGAUUAAGAUUCCCUUCCCCUGCCAUCACCCCGUCGCCUCAAGUGAGUGUUUAUGGUAUCCCUGGACAUUGACGGCUAAGCAUCAUCUCGGUCCAUCUGGGGCUUCCUGAUGACUGAGGUCUUUAUGAGGCUUUCCUGAUGACUGAUGAUUAAUUAGUAUCCUGGCAUUCCUGAGUGCUAGGCGCAUGCUCUAGGCUGCAUGCUCUGACCCAGGGUUAUCUCGGAAGGCCUCACUAAUCCCUUUCUUGAUUCCCCCAGAAGCUCAGGGCUUGAUGAGACCACCCAGUUCUGUCAGACUCUGGAAUGUGCCCCCAGUGGUCACGCCCUAUUUCUUCCUUCUGUCUUUUCCGUGUACGCAGGCACAAGUGUGCAUGUGUAUAUGUGUGUGCAUGUGUGUAAGGGGUGUACCCAUAUACUCACGAGGAAGACAUUAAUUGACUCACUCUAUCAUGCUAUCAUGCCCUAUUUCCAUGAGAAAUGAUCCUCACUGAUCUUUGAGAUAGGCUGGAAGCAACCCCCAGUAAUUCUCCUGCCUCUACCAACCACAGUGCUAGGGACUAUUUUUGACACAGGGUUUCUGUA